CCGUCGCCGCCGCGCGCGCCUACGACACCGCCGUCUUCUACCUCCGCGGCCGCUCCGCGCGCCUCAACUUCCCCGACCAGCUCCUCGACGGCACUGCCCCCGCCGCCGCGCCCGGGGACCUCACCGCCGCCGCCAUCCGCAAGAAGGCCGCCGAGGUCGGCGCGCGCGUCGACGCGCUCCACUCCGGCGGCAUCGGGGUCGGCAUGGGCGCCCCUGCGGCACCGCCGUCGCCGUCCCAGCGCCGCAGGGCCAAGAACCCCGACCUCAACCGGGAGCCCACCCCCGACACCGACGACGACGAGUGAACUGCUGUAAACCCCCGCCAAUUCUUCAGUUCUUCUCCGACCACCAUCACCACCUACAUACCUAGUACUAGUGCGUCUUAAUUAGUGGUUAGCAACCAGCAGCGAGGUAGCUAGCGGUAGCAGAGCAUCAACCAUCUCAGUGAGCAAGCAGAUACUAGUUCAGUCAGUUCAAGAAGACAUGGGGAAGCAAGCAUGGAUCGGACAUGCAAGGUGUUCGGUGAAAUGCCGGAUGAGCUCGGGGACCAAACCCGACCAAUAAUGGAGCCGCGACGUCGCAGUCAGCUCGGCCAGGGGGUUACUAAGUAGGGCCUGGGCUAUCAGCGACGGCGAGCUUGGUGGCAGUAGACUCAGGGUGUGUGAGUGCGUGCUUGGGCAUGGGCAUGCACCUAAGCAAGGUGCAUGGCCAUGUACCGACCUGCAUCAGAUAUAAGAGUGUUUGUAAAGAGAGAUACCGGCGAACAAACAAAAGCUUCAAGAAUCAUUCCAUGCACGCACUCUCUCUUUCGUCUCUGUUUCUUCAUCUUGAUUCCCACAUCAUCAUGGCCCGAUUCCAGGAAAGCAGCAGCGGCAGUGCAAUUCCGUGUGCUUUUUCGAGAGGAACACCGAACACGGCGGCCAGGUCCCAGUUCCCACCCGCCUCAAAAGCAGCAGCAGCAGCCGCCACCGCCGUAGCGUCUCGUGGUGCGCCUCCCCUCGUGUCGGCGUGCCGUGGCCGUGGUGGGCCGCCGACGUGGCCCGUGGUGCGUCUCCCCUCGUGUCGGCGUGCCGCGGCCGUGGUUAGCCGGUGGUGGGCCGCAUCCUCCACCUGCGCCGGCCACCGCCGGGCGAGUCAGGCGUACUGCCUCGUGUGUACGGCAUAUGAUGAUGGGUGUCAGUGGA
Molecule: long non-coding RNA, 1184 nt
Filed under: Triticum aestivum (bread wheat)
Lineage: Eukaryota; Viridiplantae; Streptophyta; Magnoliopsida; Poales; Poaceae
Description: long non-coding RNA (TAES_LNC017548)
Source: RNAcentral